UGGACGAACAUGGCGCCCCGGCCUUCGGGCUGUUAUUUUUGGGUGCGGCUUUGUCCGCAGCCUAUUUUUGGCACACGGAGGCCCCUCACAAAGUCUCGCGGCAUUCCGUGUCCGGCGGACGAAGUUGGCCAGCCGCACCCCCCAAGGCUAUAGCCCACCCGUUUUUGUGGCCUUUUUCCGCUGGAUGAACUUGGCGCCCCGGCCUUCGGGCGGUUAUUUUUGUGGGCGGCUUUGCCCGCGGCCUAUGUUUUGCACACGGAGGCCCCUCGCAAAGUCUCGCGGCAUUCCGAGUCCGGCGGACGAAGUGGGCCAGCCCCACCCCCCAAGGCUAUAGCCCACCCGUUUUUGUGGCCUUUUUCCGCUGGACGAACUUGGCGCCCCGGCCUUCGGGCGGUUAAUUUUGGGUACGGCUUUGCCCGCGGCCUAUUUUUGGCACACGGAGGCCCUUCGCAAAGUCUUGCGGCAUUCCGAGUCCGGCGGACGAAGUGGGCCAGCCCCACCCCCCAAGGCUAUAGCCCACCCGUUUUUGUGGCCUUUUUGCGCUGGACGAACUUGACUCCCCGGUUUUCGGGCGGUUAUUUUUGGACGCGGCUUUGCCCGCGGCCUAUGUUUGGCACACGGAGGCCCCUCGCAAAGUCUCGCGGCAUUCCGAGUCCGGCGGACGAAGUGGGCCAGCCCCACCCCCCAAGGCUAUAGCCCACCCGUUUUUGUGGCAUUUUUGCGCUGGACGAACUUGGCACCCCCGCAUUCGGGCGGUUAUUUUUGGGCGCGGCUUUGCCCGCGGCCUUUGUUUGGCAGCACACGGAGGCCCCUCGCAAAGUCUCACGGCAUUCCGAGUCCGGAGGACGAAGCUGGCCAGCCCCAACCCCCAAGGCUAUAGCCCACCCGUUUUUGUGGCCUUUUUCCGCUGGACGAACUUGGCGCCCCGGCCUUCGGGCGGUUAUUUUUGGGUGCGGCUUUGCCCGCGGCCUAUUUUUGGCACACGGAGGCCCCUCGCAAAGUCUCGCGGCAUUCCGAGUCCGGCGGACGAAGUUGGCCAGCCCCACCCCCGAGGGUAUCGCCCCCCCGUUUUUGGGGCCUUUUUGCGCUGGACGAACUUGGCGCCCCGCCUUCGGACGGUUAUUUUUGGGCGCGGCUUUGCCCGCGGCCUUUGUUUGGCAGCACACGGAGGCCCCUCGCAAAGUCUCACGGCAUUCCGAGUCCGGCGGACGAAGUUGGCCAGCCCCAACCCCCAAGGCUAUAGCCCACCCGUUUUUGUGGCAUUUUUGCGCUGAACGAACUUGGCGCCCCGCCUUCGGACGGUUAUUUUUGGGCGCGGCUUUGCCCGCGGCCUUUGUUUGGCACACGGAGGCCCCUCGCAAAGUCUCACGGCAUUCCGUGUCCGGCGGACGAAGUUGGCCAGCCCCACCCCCCAAGGCUACCUCCCACCCGUUUUUGUGGCCUUUUUGCGCUGGACGAACUUGGCGCCCCGGACUUCAGGCGGUUAUUUUUGGAUGUGGCUUUGCCCGUCCCCUAAGUUUGGCACACGGAAGCCCCUCGCGAAGUCUCGCGGCAUUCCGAGUCCGGCGGACGAAGUCGGCCCGCCCCACCUCCCAAGGCUAUAGCCCACCCGUUCUUGUGGCCUUUUUCCGCUGGACGAACUUGGCGCCGUGGCCUUCGGGUGGUUAUUUUUGGGUACGGCUUUGCCCACGGCCUAUUUUUGGCACACGGAGACCCCUCACAAAGUCUCGCGGCAUUCCAAGUCCGGCGGACGAAGUUGGCCAGCCGCACCCCCCAAGGCUAUACCCCACCCGUUUUUGUGGCCUUUUUGCGCUGGACGAACUUGGCGCCCCGGCCUUCAGGCGGGUAUUUUUGGGCGUGGCUUUGCCCACAGCCUAUGUUUGGCACACGGAGGACCCUCGCAAAGUCUCGCGGCAUUCCGAGUCCGGCUGACGAAGUCGGCCCCCCCACCCCCCAAGGCUAUAGCCCACCCGUUUUUGUGGCCUUUUUCCGCUGAACGAACUUGGCGCCCCAGCCUUCGGGCGGUUAUUUUUGGGCGCGGCUUUUCCCGGGGCCUAUUUUGGCACACGGAGGCCCCUAGCAAAGUCUCGCGGCAUUCCGAGCCCGGCGGAAGAAGUUGGCCAUCCCCACCCCCCAAGGUUAUAGCCCACCCGUUUUUGUGGCCUUUUUCCGCUGGACGAACUUGGCGCCCCGGCCGUCGGGAGGUUAUUUUUGGGCGCGGCUUUGUCCGCGGCCUAUGUUUGGCACACGGAGGCCCUUCGCAAAGUCUUGCGGCAUUCCGAGUCCGGCGGACGAAGUGGGCCAGCCCCACCCCCCAAGGCUAUAGCCCACCCGUUUUUGUGGCCUUUUUGCGCUGGACGAACUUGACUCCCCGGCUUUCGGGCGGUUAUUUUUGGGCGCGGCUUUGGCCGCGGCCUUUGUUUGGCACACGGAGGCCCCUCGCAAAGUCUCACGGCAUUCCGAGUCCGGCGAACGAAGUGGGCCAGCCCCACCCCCCAAGGAUAUAGCCCACCCGUUUUUGUGGCCUUGUUGCGCUGGACGAAUUUGACGCCCCGGCCUUCGGGCGGUUAUUUUUGGGCGCGGCUUUUGCCGCAGCCUAUGUUUGGCACAUGGAGGCCACUCGCAAAAUCUCACGGCAUUCCGAGUCCGGCGGACGAAGUUGGCCAGCCCCACCCCCCAAGGCUAUAGCCCACCCGUUUUUGUGGCCUUAUUGCGCUGGACGAACGUGGCGCCCCGGCCUUCGGGCUGUUAUUUUUGGGUGCGGCUUUGUCCGCAGCCUAUUUUUGGCACACGGAGGCCCCUCACAAAGUCUCGCGGCAUUCCGUGUCCGGCGGACGAAGUUGGCCAGCCGCACCCCCCAAGGCUAUAGCCCACCCGUUUUUGUGGCCUUUUUCCGCUGGAUGAACUUGGCGCCCCGGCCUUCGGGCGGUUAUUUUUGGGCGCGGCUUUCACCGCGGCCUAUUUUUGGCACACUGAGGCCCCUCGCAAAGUCUCGUAGCAUUCCGAGUCCGGCGGACGAAGUUGGCCAGCCCCACCCCCCAAGGCUAUAGCCCACCUGUUUUUGUGGCCUUUUUGCGCUGGACGCACUUGGCGCCCCGGCCUUCGGGCAGUUAUUUUUGGGCGCGGCUUUGCCCGCGGCCUAUUUUUGGCACACGGAGGCCCCUCGUAAAGUCUCGCGGCAUUCCGAGUCCGGCAGACGAAGUCGGCCAGCCCCACCCCCCAAGGCUAUUGCCCACCCGUUUUUGCGGCCUUAUUGCGCUGGACGAACGUGGCGCCCCGGCCUUCGGGCAGUUAUUUUUGGGCGCGGCUUUGUCCGCAGCCUAUUUUUGGCACACGGAGGCCCCUCGCAAAGUCUCGUGGCAUUCCGAGUCCGGCAGACGAAGUUGGCCGGCCCCACCCCCCAAGGCUAUAGCCCACCCGUUUUUGUGGCCUUAUUGUGCUGGACGAACGUGGCGCCCCGGCCUUCGGGCCGUUAUUUUUGGACGCGGCUUUGUCCGCAGCCUAUUUUUGGCACACGGAGGCCCCUCGCAAAGUCUCGCGGCAUUCCGAGUCCAGCGGACGAAGUUGGCCAGCCCCACCCCCCAAGGCUAUAGCCCACCCGUUUUUGUGGCCUUUUUCCGCUGGAUGAACUUGGCGCCCCGGCCUUCGGGCGGUUAUUUUUGGGCGCGGCUUUGACCGCAGCAUAUUUUUGGUACACGGAGGCCCCUCGCAAAGUCUCGCGGCAUUCCGAGUCCGGCGGACGAAGUUGGCCAGCCCCACCCCACAAGGCUAUAGCCCACCCGUUUUUGUGGCAUUUUUGCGCUGGAUGAACUUGGCGCCCCGGCCUUCGGGCGGUUAUUUUUGGGCGCGGCUUUGCCGACGGCCUAUUUUUGGCACACGGAGGCCCCUCACAAAGUCUAGCGGCAUUCCGAGUCCGGCGGACGAAGUCGGCCAGCCCCACCCCCCAAGGCUAUAGCCCACCCGUUUUUGUGGCCUUGUUGCGCUGGACGAACGUGGCGCCCCGGCCUUCGGGCGGUUAUUUUUGGGCGCGGCUUAGUCCGCAGCCUAUUUUUUGCACACGGAGGCCCCUCGCAAAGUCUCACAGCAUUCCGAGUCCGGCGGACGAAGUGGGCCAGCCCCACCGCCCAAGGCUAUAGCCCACCCGUUUUUGUGGCCUUUUUCCGCUGGACGAACUUGGCACCCCGGCCUUCGUGCGGUUAUUUUGGGGCGCGGCAUUGUCCGCGGCCUAUGUUUGGCACACGGAGGCCCCUUGGAAAGUCUCGCGGCAUUCCGAGUCCGGCGGACGAUGUUGGCCAGCCCCGCCCCCCAAGGCUAUAGCCCACCCGUUUUUGUGGCCUUGUUGCGCUGGACGAACGUGGCGCCCCGGCCUUCGGGCGGUUAUUUUUGGGCGCGGCUUAGUCCGCAGCCU
Molecule: long non-coding RNA, 4408 nt
Filed under: Citrus x clementina
Lineage: Eukaryota; Viridiplantae; Streptophyta; Magnoliopsida; Sapindales; Rutaceae
Description: Citrus clementina (C. clementina) long non-coding RNA (CCLE_LNC006364)
Source: RNAcentral